This 482-nucleotide ribosomal RNA is filed under the name uncultured bacterium. RNAcentral's name for it is "partial 16S ribosomal RNA". It matches the Rfam family "Bacterial small subunit ribosomal RNA", at positions 30 to 507 of the family's 1533-position model. The record is from RNAcentral.
AUUGAACGCUGGCGGCAUGCCUUACACAUGCAAGUCGAACGGUAACGGGCCUUCGGGUGCCGACGAGUGGCGAACGGGUGAGUAAUACAUCGGAACGUGCCCGAUCGUGGGGGCUACCGGGGCGAAACCUUUCCUAAUACCCCAUACGAUCUACGGUUGAAAGCGGGGGACCGCAAGCCCUUUCGCGGACGGAGCGCCCGAUGGCGGAUUGGGUAGUUGGUGGGAUAAAAGCUUACCAAGCCGACGAUCUGUAGCUGGUCUGAGAGGAUGAUAGGCCACACUGGGACUGAGACACGGCCCAGACUCCUACGGGAGGCAGCAGUGGGGAAUUUUGGACAAUGGGCGCAAGCCUGAUCCAGCCAUGCCGCGUGCAGGAUGAAGGCCUUCGGGUUGUAAACUGCUUUUGUACGGAACGAAAAGCCUUCUUUUAAUACGGGGGGGUCAUGACGGUACCGUAAGAAUAAGCACCGGCUAACUACGUG